AGCGUACACGGUGGAUGCCCUGGCAGUCAGAGGCGAUGAAGGACGUGCUAAUCUGCGAUAAGCGUCGGUAAGGUGAUAUGAACCGUUAUAACCGGCGAUUUCCGAAUGGGGAAACCCAGUGUGUUUCGACACACUAUCAUUAACUGAAUCCAUAGGUUAAUGAGGCGAACCGGGGGAACUGAAACAUCUAAGUACCCCGAGGAAAAGAAAUCAACCGAGAUUCCCCCAGUAGCGGCGAGCGAACGGGGAGCAGCCCAGAGCCUGAAUCAGUGUGUGUGUUAGUGGAAGCGUCUGGAAAGGCGUGCGAUACAGGGUGACAGCCCCGUACACAAAAAUGCACAUAUUGUGAGCUCGAUGAGUAGGGCGGGACACGUGGUAUCCUGUCUGAAUAUGGGGGGACCAUCCUCCAAGGCUAAAUACUCCUGACUGACCGAUAGUGAACCAGUACCGUGAGGGAAAGGCGAAAAGAACCCCGGCGAGGGGAGUGAAAAAGAACCUGAAACCGUGUACGUACAAGCAGUGGGAGCACGCUUAGGCGUGUGACUGCGUACCUUUUGUAUAAUGGGUCAGCGACUUAUAUUCUGUAGCAAGGUUAACCGAAUAGGGGAGCCGAAGGGAAACCGAGUCUUAACUGGGCGUUAAGUUGCAGGGUAUAGACCCGAAACCCGGUGAUCUAGCCAUGGGCAGGUUGAAGGUUGGGUAACACUAACUGGAGGACCGAACCGACUAAUGUUGAAAAAUUAGCGGAUGACUUGUGGCUGGGGGUGAAAGGCCAAUCAAACCGGGAGAUAGCUGGUUCUCCCCGAAAGCUAUUUAGGUAGCGCCUCGUGAAUUCAUCUCCGGGGGUAGAGCACUGUUUCGGCAAGGGGGUCAUCCCGACUUACCAACCCGAUGCAAACUGCGAAUACCGGAGAAUGUUAUCACGGGAGACACACGGCGGGUGCUAACGUCCGUCGUGAAGAGGGAAACAACCCAGACCGCCAGCUAAGGUCCCAAAGUCAUGGUUAAGUGGGAAACGAUGUGGGAAGGCCCAGACAGCCAGGAUGUUGGCUUAGAAGCAGCCAUCAUUUAAAGAAAGCGUAAUAGCUCACUGGUCGAGUCGGCCUGCGCGGAAGAUGUAACGGGGCUAAACCAUGCACCGAAGCUGCGGCAGCGACGCUUAUGCGUUGUUGGGUAGGGGAGCGUUCUGUAAGCCUGCGAAGGUGUGCUGUGAGGCAUGCUGGAGGUAUCAGAAGUGCGAAUGCUGACAUAAGUAACGAUAAAGCGGGUGAAAAGCCCGCUCGCCGGAAGACCAAGGGUUCCUGUCCAACGUUAAUCGGGGCAGGGUGAGUCGACCCCUAAGGCGAGGCCGAAAGGCGUAGUCGAUGGGAAACAGGUUAAUAUUCCUGUACUUGGUGUUACUGCGAAGGGGGGACGGAGAAGGCUAUGUUGGCCGGGCGACGGUUGUCCCGGUUUAAGCGUGUAGGCUGGUUUUCCAGGCAAAUCCGGAAAAUCAAGGCUGAGGCGUGAUGACGAGGCACUACGGUGCUGAAGCAACAAAUGCCCUGCUUCCAGGAAAAGCCUCUAAGCAUCAGGUAACAUCAAAUCGUACCCCAAACCGACACAGGUGGUCAGGUAGAGAAUACCAAGGCGCUUGAGAGAACUCGGGUGAAGGAACUAGGCAAAAUGGUGCCGUAACUUCGGGAGAAGGCACGCUGAUAUGUAGGUGAAGUCCCUCGCGGAUGGAGCUGAAAUCAGUCGAAGAUACCAGCUGGCUGCAACUGUUUAUUAAAAACACAGCACUGUGCAAACACGAAAGUGGACGUAUACGGUGUGACGCCUGCCCGGUGCCGGAAGGUUAAUUGAUGGGGUUAGCGCAAGCGAAGCUCUUGAUCGAAGCCCCGGUAAACGGCGGCCGUAACUAUAACGGUCCUAAGGUAGCGAAAUUCCUUGUCGGGUAAGUUCCGACCUGCACGAAUGGCGUAAUGAUGGCCAGGCUGUCUCCACCCGAGACUCAGUGAAAUUGAACUCGCUGUGAAGAUGCAGUGUACCCGCGGCAAGACGGAAAGACCCCGUGAACCUUUACUAUAGCUUGACACUGAACAUUGAGCCUUGAUGUGUAGGAUAGGUGGGAGGCUUUGAAGUGUGGACGCCAGUCUGCAUGGAGCCGACCUUGAAAUACCACCCUUUAAUGUUUGAUGUUCUAACGUGGACCCGUAAUCCGGGUUGCGGACAGUGUCUGGUGGGUAGUUUGACUGGGGCGGUCUCCUCCUAAAGAGUAACGGAGGAGCACGAAGGUUGGCUAAUCCUGGUCGGACAUCAGGAGGUUAGUGCAAUGGCAUAAGCCAGCUUGACUGCGAGCGUGACGGCGCGAGCAGGUGCGAAAGCAGGUCAUAGUGAUCCGGUGGUUCUGAAUGGAAGGGCCAUCGCUCAACGGAUAAAAGGUACUCCGGGGAUAACAGGCUGAUACCGCCCAAGAGUUCAUAUCGACGGCGGUGUUUGGCA
Molecule: ribosomal RNA, 2484 nt
Filed under: human gut metagenome
Description: bacterial LSU rRNA
Rfam family: Bacterial large subunit ribosomal RNA
Source: RNAcentral